UACGUAGGGUGCGAGCGUUGUCCGGAAUUAUUGGGCGUAAAGAGCUCGUAGGCGGCUUGUCGCGUCGGCUGUGAAAACCCGCGGCUCAACUGUGGGCGGGCAGCUGAUACGGGCAGGCUGGAGUUCGGUAGGGGAGACUGGAAUUCCUGGUGUAGCGGUGAAAUGCGCAGAUAUCAGGAGGAACACCGGUGGCGAAGGCGGAUCUCUGGGCCUUGCCUGACGCUGAGGCGCGAAAGCUAGGGGAGCGAACAGG
This 253-nucleotide ribosomal RNA is filed under the name uncultured bacterium. RNAcentral's name for it is "partial 16S ribosomal RNA". It matches the Rfam family "Bacterial small subunit ribosomal RNA", at positions 524 to 776 of the family's 1533-position model. The record is from RNAcentral.